GGGCCCGUAGCUCAGCUCGGACAGACCUGAACGGGUCAACAGCGCCGGCCUUCGGAGCCGGAGGUCCCGGGUUCGAGUCCCGGCGGGCCCG
RNAcentral lists this transfer RNA (91 nucleotides) under Nitrososphaerota archaeon. RNAcentral's name for it is "tRNA-Arg". It matches the Rfam family "tRNA". Rfam says of the family: Transfer RNA (tRNA) molecules are approximately 80 nucleotides in length. Lineage: Archaea; Thermoproteati; Nitrososphaerota. RNAcentral also lists the same sequence under 2 other names. The record is from RNAcentral.